GGCUGAAGAUAGGUACUAGAUUGUAAAUCUAGUUAUGAGUAUAACUC
Molecule: transfer RNA, 47 nt
Filed under: Aegla aff. longirostri MHT-2018
Lineage: Eukaryota; Metazoa; Arthropoda; Malacostraca; Decapoda; Aeglidae
Description: partial tRNA-Tyr
Source: RNAcentral